RNAcentral lists this ribosomal RNA (597 nucleotides) under Trichoderma viride. Its description in RNAcentral is "eukaryotic LSU rRNA". The stretch from base 191 to 344 matches the Rfam family "5.8S ribosomal RNA". Lineage: Eukaryota; Fungi; Ascomycota; Sordariomycetes; Hypocreales; Hypocreaceae. The record is from RNAcentral.
AAUAUAGGGAAUCGAAUUCACUCCCAACCAAUGUGAACAUACCAAACUGUUGCCUCGGCGGGGUCACGCCCCGGGUGCGUCGCAGCCCCGGAACCAGGCGCCCGCCGGAGGGACCAACCAAACUCUUUUCUGUAGUCCCCUCGCGGACGUUAUUUCUUACAGCUCUGAGCAAAAAUUCAAAAUGAAUCAAAACUUUCAACAACGGAUCUCUUGGUUCUGGCAUCGAUGAAGAACGCAGCGAAAUGCGAUAAGUAAUGUGAAUUGCAGAAUUCAGUGAAUCAUCGAAUCUUUGAACGCACAUUGCGCCCGCCAGUAUUCUGGCGGGCAUGCCUGUCCGAGCGUCAUUUCAACCCUCGAACCCCUCCGGGGGGUCGGCGUUGGGGACCUCGGGAGCCCCUAAGACGGGAUCCCGGCCCCGAAAUACAGUGGCGGUCUCGCCGCAGCCUCUCCUGCGCAGUAGUUUGCACAACUCGCACCGGGAGCGCGGCGCGUCCACGUCCGUAAAACACCCAACUUUCUGAAAUGUUGACCUCGGAUCAGGUAGGAAUACCCGCUGAACUUAAGCAUAUCAAAAGCCGGGAGGAAGAUCAUUUCCGU